UACGAAGGCUUCAAGCGUUAUCCGGAUUUAUUGGGCGUAAAGAGUGCGCAGGUGGCUAUGUGCGUCUGUUGUUAAAUGGCUCCGCUUAACGGGGUCGCUGCAAUGGAUACGGCAUAGCUUGAGCAUGUAAGAGGUGACUAGAACUCACGGUGUAGGGGUGAAAUCCGUUGAUAUCGUGGGGAAUACCAAAGGCGAAGGCAGGUCACUGGUACAUUGCUGACACUCAUAGCACGAAAGCGUGGGGAGCAAAAAGG
Molecule: ribosomal RNA, 254 nt
Filed under: uncultured bacterium
Lineage: Bacteria
Description: partial 16S ribosomal RNA
Rfam family: Bacterial small subunit ribosomal RNA
Source: RNAcentral